Vidua chalybeata is the source of this 332-nucleotide long non-coding RNA. RefSeq lists it as uncharacterized. Lineage: Eukaryota; Metazoa; Chordata; Aves; Passeriformes; Viduidae. The record is from RefSeq and is a predicted model, not a curated record. The transcript has 2 exons.
AUUUCAAUGUGCUCAAAAAAAGUAUGUGGCAGGCACAUUUUCUCAUUGUUUGAAAAUACUUAUGGGAAAUAUCUGUUCCUGCAGAUGUUACCUAAAUCUGGAUUUCAUCAUAUAAUCUGUUCAGCACAUCCCAGCAGCACCUCAGAAUGCGUAGUGCUCUCAGAAUAUUGCAGGAUGAAGACCAUAGGCUGAAUUUGAAGUCUGGUUAAGUGGCAAGGUCAGAGACAGAAAAGCCAGAGCAGUCAGAAGUCAAGCUCAGUCAUCAUUUUCAUUGCUGUGCUCUCCACUGAUGUUUCCUUUGAUUCUGUAUAAAUAAACUUUGUUGUAAUGUC